Molecule: RNase P RNA, 225 nt
Filed under: Escherichia coli
Lineage: Bacteria; Pseudomonadati; Pseudomonadota; Gammaproteobacteria; Enterobacterales; Enterobacteriaceae
Description: partial RNase P RNA component class A
Rfam family: Bacterial RNase P class A
About the family: Ribonuclease P (RNase P) is a ubiquitous endoribonuclease, found in archaea, bacteria and eukarya as well as chloroplasts and mitochondria. Its best characterised activity is the generation of mature 5'-ends of tRNAs by cleaving the 5'-leader elements of precursor-tRNAs.
Source: RNAcentral
CCGCGUAAGCGGGAUCAGGUAAGGGUGAAAGGGUGCGGUAAGAGCGCACCGCGCGGCUGGUAACAGUCCGUGGCACGGUAAACUCCACCCGGAGCAAGGCCAAAUAGGGGUUCAUAAGGUACGGCCCGUACUGAACCCGGGUAGGCUGCUUGAGCCAGUGAGCGAUUGCUGGCCUAGAUGAAUGACUGUCCACGACAGAACCCGGCUUAUCGGUCAGUUUCACCU